CUUCAGUUCCUCAUUCAACAGACUCACGUGUAAGAUUCUAACUAUACUCAUUGAGUACUGAAAUGAACAUGAACACAUUUUAUAAUAUUUUGAGAGUAUUCCUCCUCUCUUAUUGUACCACAGAUCAAAGCGAACCCUCAAAACUCCCUUCAAAUAGUCAUGUUGAAGAUUUGAUCCGAAGCGACACGUACUUGCGAACUUAUGAAAUAAACCAUAUUUGGGCUAUUCAUCAGUUCCGAUUCCACGAGACACUUGAGGCUAAUAGGAUUUACUCGCCCAUUUUACAAGCACCCGCAACCGAUAGAUAUAAAUGGCAAAUUUUCAUAAACCCGAAUGGCCUAGAUAAUAACAACGAUACGAUUUCUGUGAAGGUAUGUCAAUACCCUGACGGUGCAGGUAAAGAGACGACUUUAGAGGGUAAUAUUUCAAUCAUAA
Long non-coding RNA from Planococcus citri (citrus mealybug), 435 nucleotides. RefSeq lists it as uncharacterized. Lineage: Eukaryota; Metazoa; Arthropoda; Insecta; Hemiptera; Pseudococcidae. The transcript is spliced from 2 exons. The record is from RefSeq and is a predicted model, not a curated record.